UGAAAAUUGGUUGUUAGAAUCAAAGGGUUUAGUUUGAAAUUGUUCUGCUAGGAAUUGACUUGGCUUGAAAUAUUUGGUUUAAUUUGAUAUUAUUCUCUUAGUUAGUUUCUAUUUGUGUAUGUUUCUUUCCCUUCUCUGGGAUCCUGUCUUCUGCCUUCUGCUCUUCCAUCCUCUCACACUCUCCUCCAUUUUUCUAGCCCUGUAGAUAAUUCUUGUCAUUUGACUUCAGUGGGGCUUGAAUUCAGGUCCUUUUGGUUUGAAGGUUACUUUCAUAUAUAUUAUUUUAUGCUUUCAGUCUACCAGUAUGUCUUUGGAAGUUGUAUAUGACUCAUCAGUGUGUCUGAUUCUGCAGCAGAUGUGCAAUUUUUGGCCACUCUGACAAAUGUCUACUACUCAUAAUGAAUAACUUUGACUUGUUUCAGAAUGCUGCUGACUUUGUUCUUUUAUUUCAUGUAUUGCAUACAAUAAUGAUACUUGUGAUAUAUCACGACAGUGAAAUUGCAAGCUGUGUUUGUGUAUUCAGUAUAGAAUUUAAGCACUCAUGUAGGGAUAUCCAUAUCUUUCAAUCUGAAAAACUACCACUGAAAUUGGUUGAUUUCUAUUCCCCAAUAUAAUAUUCUGGAGCAGUUGUGGUGAGCUGCCUCUUUUGUAGACCAAAUUGAUGGGCCUCUGGAAUAAGGAGAUUCUGACUAUAGGCCAUAUUAGCUAUUUCAUUUCACAAACAAACCAGAAGUUUCUAUUGACUAUCACAAGCAGCACCAUGCAACAUCAUGAUUGUCAGCUGUUGUCCAUAAUCACAGAUGUCAGACCAUUCUUGCUGGCAGGAGUUGUGUGUCAGUUUGUUGAUUGAAACACAGGCUUAGAGAAAUCACCACAAAUGCAAUGUGCUUAGCUGUGACAAGUAAAUGGUCCAUUUUUUAUAGAAUUUGUAUAUAUCGAUAAUAUGCCAACUAAAUACUUGUUUUUCUUUGUGGGCUUUGACUUAUCUGCCUUCCUCUUUUAUAUGGUAUAGCUAUUCCUCUUUCAUAUGUGUAUUAUUGUUUUAUUGUAAUUCUACCCAUUUUGGAUUUAAAACUUUGCAUAUUGAAUGGUUUUCUUCUUCCAAGACUUAAUAACUAGCUCAGCUGAGCUGAGCUGGUUAUUAAGUCCAGUUGCCACAAGACUGGAUACAAGAUUCCUUAUGUUUGAUGACAAUAUAUAUUUUGGUAAAGGAAAAAUGAUUUAUGAAAAAUGAAAAGGUAUAUUUCUGUUAGACAUUUUCUGUUUAUUUCUAUUUUGCACAUUUUUUCAUACUAAUCUAGAUAGCUAUAUUGCUGCUGUUUCCUAGUGAAUUAUUAUAUACAGUUUAUCAAAUUUAUAUACUGUCAAAAAUGUACAUUCUUAACACUACAAACAGCAGUAGAAUUAAAUAAAAACUUUAAUAAUUGAUUAGGUAUCUGAGGAACCAAAAACAUUAUGUCUUGAGUUUCUAAUGAAUGGAGAAUCUUGAACUCCUAAUGAACAGACAGAAUUAUUCAUCAUUAAAGAGAUUUAGUUAUAAGAGACAAUUAAAGAAUUCAUCUCUUUUUCCUUUCGUAUUCUAUCUUUCCUAUAAUUCUUUUAUUUUCAUUUCAUUUCAUCAUUUGUUCUUCUAGUGGC
This 1638-nucleotide long non-coding RNA is filed under the name Androctonus crassicauda. Lineage: Eukaryota; Metazoa; Arthropoda; Arachnida; Scorpiones; Buthidae. The record is from RNAcentral.